UUGACCUCGGAUCAGGUAGRGAUACCCGCUGAACUUAAGCAUAUCAAUAACCGGAGGAA
RNAcentral lists this ribosomal RNA (59 nucleotides) under Aureobasidium sp. CHAM-12. RNAcentral's name for it is "partial 28S ribosomal RNA". Lineage: Eukaryota; Fungi; Ascomycota; Dothideomycetes; Dothideales; Saccotheciaceae. The record is from RNAcentral.